Molecule: long non-coding RNA, 578 nt
Filed under: Dromaius novaehollandiae (emu)
Lineage: Eukaryota; Metazoa; Chordata; Aves; Casuariiformes; Dromaiidae
Description: lncRNA (ENSDNVG00000013265.1)
Source: RNAcentral
AUGGCUUCAGCAGAAGAACAUUCCAGUCAGUGUCAUCCUUCUGKUUUUUUUUUCCCCCAAGGGUAUGACGUGCUUGCUUUGAGCUGGGGGAUGGAGGAAGGAAAGGAGAAUGAGUUGAAGCUACCUUGUUCGGAAAGACCGGUUGUUCUGAUGAUGACCUGCCUCCUAGACCUUCAUAAUUGAGGUGGUGCCCGGCUGACUUCAAUGACAUUAGUGAGGAAAAUAUUUUUAUUAACUUUUCUUCAGAAUACUUUACAGUAAUAUGAAAAAUAUUGUUCUCCAGUUUAUUUUCUGUAGCUUCUAGAUACCAGGUAUAAAAAAAUCCAURUGUAGUUCCUUCUCACAGAUGAUGCUACUUGCAAGGGCAAAAUUCUCCUGCCCUGACCAGGACUUUCUGCUUGUCUGUCUUCCUCUCAUGUUGUUUUGCUCACGCACAUCCUUUUCCGCUGUUUAUGCCCUAAGAGCCUGCCAAAAAGAUGUGGUGUGAAAGAUACUUUCCUGAAAGAGAAGUACAAUUAAAAAAGAGUGACAGUCAUAUGGGAACAUACUGUUAUGAUUAUCACUGUUUUUUUAACAAG